Long non-coding RNA from Engraulis encrasicolus (European anchovy), 1016 nucleotides. RefSeq lists it as uncharacterized. The transcript has 3 exons. The record is from RefSeq and is a predicted model, not a curated record. Lineage: Eukaryota; Metazoa; Chordata; Actinopteri; Clupeiformes; Engraulidae.
AAUGGACGUUAAGUAAAUGUCUCUGUUUACUCUGAGUGUCUCAUAUAUAGAUAUGUAAGUAUAAUAUGCAUAGCCUACAUAUACUCGCUGUGGGAGGUUACAUAUGAUCUUUUCAGUAUCUAUCAAAGGUGUUGUUCAAAAGCAACUGCCACAAGUGUCGCGCGUAAACCUGGUUAAACGAUUGUUGUCGAGAGCAAUGUUAAGUAGAAGUGGUCCUGUCUUUUGUUGUAGCUGUUGAAUCACUCAGUGCAAGUUCGGUUUAGAACAGAAAGAACCUAUGCUGCCUUUAUAAUAUCAAGUGAACUUAUGAGGUGUCGUGAAAAAUGGUUGUUGAAUUGAUUCUUUAUAAAUUGGUAUAUCUAUCUAAUCAAACAUAUAUCUUACCGAAGACAGAGGUACUUAAAAGUGAGAGAAUGUCACUUGUGAUGCGCCUGGUAGCACGUUUUGUGUUGUGCAAUGUGUAUGGGCAACUGUCAUAGUAACUGGAAUUGGCAUCACAACACGUGCCGAGCAAACGACGGUGUAGUGUGUAAACAUGUUUUUCUGCAAAACGUGGCACGGGCAAGUUUUUCUCAAGAGGACUGAACUCGACGGAAAAGACUGCCGGACGUCCUUCAUCCAGGGAGCGGUGGAAGAGAAGAUAUCAGCGAGGACACGCCUUCAAGUCGACGCCCCACAGCCCGCCUUGUGAUGCAGUCUCCAUAGCGACUUCAUUUUCCAAGGAUGGAAGGCCUUGUGAAGGAAUCUCUGUGGUCUCGUCUUCUCUCCCCACUCUCUUUCUCUCCACUGGGCUCUGAACCAAAGGCUGUCUGGAGCAGUUUUCUGGACGAGAGGAAGGAAAAACAGUGGAGAAGGAGUAGGAGGAAGGAGGAAGAUGUCCGAGAGCUAGCCAGCUGUCCUCCGUGGUGACGUGACAACACGCCGCGUCCCUGACGGAUCUGUCUCGCCAUGUGGCUGUGUUCCAUAUGGCGGCCCGGUUGGACUGGGCAGGCGGCCACAGAGGACGCAUCGCAUCG